GAAGACAUGACACUAAAUCUACGUGUUUUUUUCAAAUGCACAUCUUUGGGUUACCUGUUUUCCUUGGAUCAAAAUCACACUGGAUUACUGGACGAGAGAUUGGCAGCAUCCUUGGGAGGACAACGAAAAUCAAAUGUCUCAGGUGUGCGCAAUGACCCUGGCUGAUUGGCGAUGGUAGAAAAGGCCUGCCGUGCCAACUCUCGGGGCUGCUCCUCUCCUCCGCUGGCUUUAGGCUUUUAAGUAUAAGUAUAUAUACUUUUUUGAUCCUGUGAGG
Alosa alosa (allis shad) is the source of this 274-nucleotide long non-coding RNA. RefSeq lists it as uncharacterized. The record is from RefSeq and is a predicted model, not a curated record. NCBI's taxonomy places the organism in Eukaryota, Metazoa, Chordata, Actinopteri, Clupeiformes, Clupeidae. The transcript has 3 exons.